RNAcentral lists this ribosomal RNA (301 nucleotides) under uncultured bacterium. RNAcentral's name for it is "partial 16S ribosomal RNA". It matches the Rfam family "Bacterial small subunit ribosomal RNA", at positions 509 to 807 of the family's 1533-position model. The record is from RNAcentral.
CAGUAGCCGCGGGAAUACGGAGGGAGCUAGCGUUGUUCGGAAUUACUGGGCGUAAAGCGUGCGCAGGCGGUUGUGUAAGACAGGUGUGAAAUCCCCGGGCUUAACCUGGGAACUGCGCUUGUGACUGCACAGCUAGAGUAUGGCAGAGGGGGGUGGAAUUCCACGUGUAGCAGUGAAAUGCGUAGAGAUGUGGAGGAACACCGAUGGCGAAGGCAGCCCCCUGGGCCAAUACUGACGCUCAUGCACGAAAGCGUGGGGAGCAAACAGGAUUAGAUACCCGGGUAGUCCCUGUCUCUUAUAC